GACGAACGCUGGCGGCGUGCUUAACACAUGCAAGUCGAACGGAAAGGCCCUGCUUUUGUGGGGUGCUCGAGUGGCGAACGGGUGAGUAACACGUGAGUAACCUGCCCUUGACUUUGUGAUAACUUCAGGAAACUGGGGCUAAUACCGGAUAGGAGCUCCUGCUGCAUGGUGGGGGUUGGAAAGUUUCGGCGGUUGGGGCUGGACUCGCGGCUUAUCAGCUUGUUGGUGGGGUAGUGGCUUACCAAGGCUUUGACGGGUAGCCGGCCUGAGAGGGUGACCGGCCACAUUGGGACUGAGAUACGGCCCAGACUCCUACGGGAGGCAGCAGUGGGGAAUAUUGCACAAUGGGCGGAAGCCUGAUGCAGCAACGCCGCGUGCGGGAUGACGGCCUUCGGGUUGUAAACCGCUUUCGCCUGUGACGAAGCGUGAGUGACGGUAAUGGGUAAAGAAGCACCGGCUAACUACGUG
Molecule: ribosomal RNA, 468 nt
Filed under: uncultured bacterium
Lineage: Bacteria
Description: partial 16S ribosomal RNA
Rfam family: Bacterial small subunit ribosomal RNA
Source: RNAcentral